GGGAGUGAAGCUCAGUGGAGGAGCACUUACCUACCAUGCAGGAGGUCCUGGGUUCCAGCCUCAGCACUAUUA
Molecule: transfer RNA, 72 nt
Filed under: Marmota marmota marmota (Alpine marmot)
Lineage: Eukaryota; Metazoa; Chordata; Mammalia; Rodentia; Sciuridae
Also listed under: 1 other name
Rfam family: tRNA
About the family: Transfer RNA (tRNA) molecules are approximately 80 nucleotides in length.
Source: Rfam by way of RNAcentral